CGGGACACGUGGUAUCCUGUCUGAAUAUGGGGGGACCAUCCUCCAAGGCUAAAUACUCCUGACUGACCGAUAGUGAACCAGUACCGUGAGGGAAAGGCGAAAAGAACCCCGGCGAGGGGAGUGAAAAAGAACCUGAAACCGUGUACGUACAAGCAGUGGGAGCCUCUUAAUGGGGUGACUGCGUACCUUUUGUAUAAUGGGUCAGCGACUUAUAUUCUGUAGCAAGGUUAACCGAAUAGGGGAGCCGAAGGGAAACCGAGUCUUAACUGGGCGUUAAGUUGCAGGGUAUAGACCCGAAACCCGGUGAUCUAGCCAUGGGCAGGUUGAAGGUUGGGUAACACUAACUGGAGGACCGAACCGACUAAUGUUGAAAAAUUAGCGGAUGACUU
Molecule: ribosomal RNA, 389 nt
Filed under: Escherichia coli
Lineage: Bacteria; Pseudomonadati; Pseudomonadota; Gammaproteobacteria; Enterobacterales; Enterobacteriaceae
Description: partial 23S ribosomal RNA
Rfam family: Bacterial large subunit ribosomal RNA
Source: RNAcentral